GCUGGCCAUUUGACUUAUCGAUGAGAAUCAAAAUGUUUUUUGUACGGAUGGAAGAGUAGUUUUUUGAUUAUUUGAUGUUGAAGAUGAAUUGUACAAGAUACAUCGAUCAAGAUGUUGUGAGAAAAUCUUCAAAAUACGAGGCACAAAGGCCGAGAUAGAUAGAUAUAGGAGAUAAACUCCAUUUGUACAAGGCACACUGGCCAGGAAGAUAAGAUAGUGAAGAGAGACUCACUCUAAGAAUUACCCAUUCCAGGUAAACUCCAUUCCAAGCUUGAACUUCAUUUGUCCAGAAGAAAAAAUAUCUCUGCUAAAUUUCUGUGUACUUCGUCGGCC
Molecule: long non-coding RNA, 333 nt
Filed under: Linum usitatissimum (flax)
Lineage: Eukaryota; Viridiplantae; Streptophyta; Magnoliopsida; Malpighiales; Linaceae
Description: long non-coding RNA (LUSI_LNC001475)
Source: RNAcentral